AAGUCGAAACAAGGUUUCCGUAGAACCUGCAGAAGGAUAUCAUUAACGCGUGAUACUCACGUACUAGCCCAAAGCGAACUGUUAUCUGUCCCGUGGUCGAAUAUUUGCAGUGGCAAGAGAAGAAUGGUGUGAGCCGCGUUCCGCGCGGUUCUGUCUCACUUGUCUAUGGUCGAUGAACUCCGUUAGCCCAUCCCACCUUGGGCUUUCCGAGUGCCCGUCACCAUAUUAUCAUGACUAAUCUGUAUGUCGAUGUGAAUUCCUGACUUCGGUCGGUCGAGUUCGUAUAGAUGCCGUAUAUUACAAAUACGAAACAACUCUUAGCAACGGAUAUCUUGCUUCUC
Molecule: unclassified non-coding RNA, 341 nt
Filed under: fungal sp.
Lineage: Eukaryota; Fungi
Description: partial internal transcribed spacer region
Source: RNAcentral